Molecule: small nuclear RNA, 180 nt
Filed under: Cricetulus griseus (Chinese hamster)
Lineage: Eukaryota; Metazoa; Chordata; Mammalia; Rodentia; Cricetidae
Description: U2 spliceosomal RNA (ENSCGRG00015034404.1)
Rfam family: U2 spliceosomal RNA
About the family: U2 is a small nuclear RNA (snRNA) component of the spliceosome (involved in pre-mRNA splicing). Complementary binding between U2 snRNA (in an area lying towards the 5' end but 3' to hairpin I) and the branchpoint sequence (BPS) of the intron results the bulging out of an unpaired adenosine, on the BPS, which initiates a nucleophilic attack at the intronic 5' splice site, thus starting the first of two transesterification reactions that mediate splicing.
Source: RNAcentral
GCAUCAUAUUAGCUUUUAGGUUAAGAUCAAAUAAAGUAUUUCUUCUUAUCAGUUUAAUACCUGUUACAUCCUUAAUAUGAAGAAUAUAUGUUAAAUGAACUUUUAGAAUUAUGGUUUGAAAAAGGACAUAGUACCAGCCCAUGUCAACCGAUACUGCAACAAAGCCUGAGACAAUUCACA